GAAGGGCUGUGAGGGAAGUGUGAGGGCUUGAGGGGCUGUGGGGGCAUGGGGAGCCGUGAGAGGGCUGUGAGGGCUGAGGGCAGUGUGGAGGUUCAGGGCGUCCAGCUGCUGUGAGGGCUUAGGGCUGCUCUGAACCCUGCAGUGGCAGCUCUCUAGAGGCCCCUAUGAUGUGAGGGGAAGGCCCCAGUGAGGGCCUCCUGCCUGUGAGGGGAUCUGAGGUAGACAUUUUUUAGUUAUCAAGGCUUCCCCACGUGGGCACCUCCAGCCUGGGCUGUGUGUGGGUGCUGCAGCCCUGUCAUGAGGCAGCCAGACACCCCAUGCUGGAUAAAUACCAGCCUCGCCUUUCCUUGUCCCUUAUUCUGUCUCCCAGCUUUGUGAGCACAUUCUUGCCCAGACAGUGCAUCCAUUGGUCACAGUUUUAUUAAGCAUACUUGAUUAUUGUUUCAGUAGAAUCCUUUUUAUGGUUCUAUGUAUUCAUUGUGAUGCCAGCUUGGUCUACAAGUCCCAGCAUUUCUUCUUGUUUCAUACUGGAGCAAAAACUUGAAAGAGGCUCCUAAUGGAGCUCCCAAGACAAGGAGUCUCGUCCUGCUGCCUUGCUGUGGGGUGGGCUGAGGCAAACGCAGCCAUGACCUCAAUUCUGCUGACACAGCCAGCUCUGUGUGACACACAGACGGCUCGUACACAUCCUGGAAUCCAUGCCUGGAUAACAAUAAUCCAAUCCUGUGCCUGGGUCAGGUGAGGAGGAGGUGGCAGGAUAUAGAAGUCCCAUGAAGGCUUUGGCUGGAGCUUGAAUGGCCUCUGGUAGUCGGCUUAAUACAAAGAAUAUGAUGAUCGAUAUUUCUGGCAUAUAAACAACAUUGCUGCAGAGGUGCUGGAAGGAGUGCAGGAACACUUGGAGCAGCCCCAGAGCAUCAGGAGUGACUGAGAGGGUCCUGGGGCUGUGUCUGCCUCUGAGGUGUCUGGGGGGACACACAGGGCUCAUCCCUCACAUCCACAGCCUGAAUGCAGCACGUUGAUGCAGCUCCCUUUGAGAUAGCUGAGUAACGCAGAGGCAUUGGGGUCCAGAUUUAUCCUGCUCAUUUCAGGCAUUGAUUAAAUGGUGUUCACACUGGAAUCAGAGGAAAGGGAUGGCUCAGCCCACUCCAGCUCAGAGCAGUCCUCUGACAUCACCUUUCUGUUCUCUGUGAUGCUGUUUGAGGUGACCAAUUCCAAAAACUGCAGCAUCAUUUAGGUGCUAAAGGCAGCCAGGAUGAAUCUGGAUACGGCUUGCUCAAGAUUUCACACAAGCCUGUGCUAAUCAGUAAAGACAGCUUUUCCUGCAGGAUGUGAUGCCAUCUCUUCAGAGUAAUGUACAAAAAGAAUCCUGCUUCUUUCUGAUUAAAACCAGGGAAUGUAGAGCGUGCUGCCUGCCUUGUGCUGUCUGGGGAGGUACAUUCAGGAUCAAUUCUCUUCAGGUGUGCUCAGCACAGCGUUCAGAGGCACGUGUGCUCAGGAAACCCUGGGAAACCUGCCCUGAAUGGAAUGGGGGAGCCACUGCAGGCUUGGGGGAGGUUUUCUGCUACAGUGCUGCUGUAUUUAAUGCAGGUACAGCUUUGGGUUUUUUCAGCCAGGGCCAGAAAGCAAAGGCCUGUGCAUUAGUGCCUCCAUGUCCUACUGUGCGAGCAAUCCCGAGCCAUUGUGCUUCCCACAGCCUCUACUCCAGCCUGCACUGCCUUUCAUGUUCGGGAAGCUGCUCUGUAAUGUGUGGAGUGAGCAAUUGUUGCCACCCCCAGCAUUCCCAGAGGCAGUGUGAGAGUGGAAAUGCUCUGCUGGUUAAGGCUCCCACACCUGUCUGCAGAGCCCAGUGGAGCAGGGCUGGGACCCUAUGGAGCAGCUAAACUUUGCUCUCUGAUCGAGCUUCCAGAAGUUUCCAAGGAGAUUCAGCCACCUGAAUAUCUGAGGAGGAAGCAUUUCAAAUUAUUUGUGCAACAUUAAUUUUUGCUAAUUCUAGCCCAGACAGCAAGUAUGUAUGUUCUUAGCUACCUGCACAUCCACAGGAAAUGACAAUCCUAUCUUAAAUAUUUUCCCAUUUUUUAAAUUGAAGUAAGAUGCCAGUAUUUUUCUCUGAGGAGGAGCACAGUCAGGAAUCUCCAUGGAGAGCUGCUGGAGCUGCUGACCCUGUCAGCCCUGGUAUUUCUGACGCUGUGGCAGGCCAGCAUUAAUUAGUGUGUGCCAAGAGGUGAGCUGGCAAGUGCCACAGCAGGUCUGUGCCAGAACCCUGGCUCACACAGAGCAUUCCUCUCAGGGUGAACCUCUGCAUGGAAUACUGAGUGUGAGGCAAAUUCUGGGACAAAAAGGUGCACAUUCCACGGUCCUGCCUGAGCCAAGUGCUGCAGUGCAUUUCUGGUGGCCCUUGGCUGGUGGAGAGGCUGCAGCUUGCCAGAGUAGGGAGUGCUGGAAGGCAGGUGGGAGGGCAGAGGAAGGAACAGCACUGAGGUGGGAUUUUUGUGGCUCCCAUGCUGUGUGUUCAUUGCAGACAUCUGUCUUAGCUGGUAUUUGAUUACUUUGAAAGCUCUCCUCAAACUCUGCUGUAAGUGACAAGCAGGGAGGUUUCACCUCAUUUAGGGGCAGAUCCCAUCUGUAAGUGCUGCAUAAGAGGGGUCCUAGGAAACAUCAGGGCAGCGUUACAUGGCCAAAGACCCUGGGUAUAACCCAAAGAGAGACACAGGGAAGUUAAAACAAGUUGGAAAUCACAUUUCUGUUUUGCUGAAUUAGGUAUUAGGGUUUUUUAAAACUUAUUAUUGCAAUUGUUUUGGUUUUGUAACUACCUGUAUUGCCUUUUGCUUGGAAACAGAUUUUACUGUAAACACAACUGGUUUGGACAGAGUGAGGAGGAACUUUUUUUUCACUUUUGCAUAUUACCUUUCCCUUUCACUGAACAAGUGUUCUGUGUGUGUGUGCAGAGCUGAUCCCUCCCCUCAGCAGGCAGGCACACAGCGACUGUCCUUCCUCCCUUGGUGCUUAACCAGUGAGACUGCAGCCUGUGUCUCUGAAACACGAUCCAGUCUGAACUGAGCCUCUACCUGGGGCUGGCAGGAGCCCAGGCAGGAAUCACAGGACUAAUUCUCUCUCUGUAGGUAAAAACCUGAAGCCCUGAGUUAAGGGAGGGACUCUAGAGGAUGAGUGUGGGUGGGAGCUGCCUCCAGAACCAGAGGGUUUUUGGUGUUGUGGUUGUUUCAGGUUUAUGGUAACACUGAAGUGAGACGUGGGUAUGUGCAGGUGUUUUCUCAUUCUCAUCUGAUUGUUGCUUCUAAGGGUAAGCAGCCUUGUUUUCCAGAAAUUACUGCUCCUGUGAUAUUGAAGUUGUGGAGGUGAGAGGCUGCUUCCAGAGGCCGCCAUGUAAACUUAUGGCAUAAACAGCCUCCUGUCCUGAUGAGUGCUGUGGUUUAACUACGAUUGGUGUGGAAGAAGAGCUCCUUCCAUUUGGUUUGAUGAUUUCCACUGAGUAACUCCAUUCACGAGGCCCUGAGCCUGUCCCUUCAGAGCUUUCACUCCAGGACUGUUUCACAUUUGUUGUGAUACUGUGAGACAAGGUUCCACAGCUCUGCUGCUGUUCCUUGUCCAGUGAUAAGCCGGAUAGCUGUUGCCUUCUUCCAUGUGGAGGAUCCGUUUCUCCUGAGACUUUCCACCAAGAAGUGGUGACUAAUUUGGUCAUGAGGUGCACAUAUGGUGACACCCCUGCUGUGAACAAAAAUAAGCUUUCCUUCACACAAAAGUUGAUUUUAUCACUCCUCUGUCUCUCUCAAACCUCCUCUUCAUUCCCAGGGCACUUCUCUUCCUGAUAGGGAUUAUUCUUUUCCCUUAUUUCCAAAAGAGCCUUCAUCCAUACUCCAUGCUAGUGUCUGUCUCCCUGCAUAGAGGACUUCUCCAGUGCCAUGGCUUCUUAAAUCCCUGGUCAGAGUGGCUUUCACAUCCCACACAGAGAGUCUCCAUACUGCAGUGUCUUUCCCCUGCAUCCACAAGGUGUUCCCAGAUCAGCCCCCUUGCUAACUGAUGUCAUUUGUGGUGGGAGAAUGGCUCUGGAGAAAUGGCUCUGGAGAAUGGGAGGGAUCUCUGGCUCUGUCAGAGAUUUCCUUAGGCUUUCUGAGGGGUGCUCUGCCAGCCUCCCUCUCGUGACUGAUCCCUGGCAUUGCACACUACUGCUGCAGCAGUUCCUGUUCUGUGUUUAUCAGGCUUGAACAGGGAUCUGACAACAUCCUGCUGCAGAGGGAUGUGAAUAUCUCACAUGGAGGGAACCUGGUCACCUCAGUGUACACUGAUUGCACUUAGAAAACACCAAAACACUGGGACUUGCCUGGGUUUGAUGGCGUUGUGAAAGGACUUUUAUAUUAAGAAAGCUGUUGCAAAAAUUGCAGGUUUUAUGAUCCCAGUAUUCCUUCAGGCCUGUUUUUCUUCAGUGUGUUCAGAAUUAGCUCUUGAAGUAGGAGUGACAGUCCAUGAGGUAAGAUAUAAACAUCAUAUGGCUGCCUGCUUCUCAGGAGAGACACUCAGAUACAGGAUCAGAGGCAGGGUAGAAGAACAACAUUAAAAUAUACUAAAUCCUGCCAUCCAUGAAAGGCAUUCCUCUCAUCUUCUGCUGGGUUUGCUCCACAAGAGAUUGUGGAUUCCAAGGCCUCAGCUUGGGUCUCUCCUACCAUAGGGAGCCUGGGUAUGUCAGAAUGGGAAGAAACAACUCAGGCCCUGUGGGUACAGAGGGGAACUGCAGGCAACAAACUAUUUCCCUCAAUAUUCAUGGGAAUUCAUUAGGACAGCUCAGAUGGGAUGUACUGGUUGAGAAUCCGUGGUGCUUUGGGAUGCCUAAAUGACAGUUAAGCCCUAAUAGCCAGGAGCAGAUCAGUCACCCUGUUGUGUAUCUGAAGCUAAAAUAGAGAAAGUGCUUUCUGGUGUCAAUUUUUUUUUAUCUAAUACUUUUAAUUUUCUUCUUAUUGGUAUUUGCUGACAGCAGCAGAACUGCAGUUGCACAUGAGCAGACUUUAUUAUCUGCCAGAAGAUCUCUGCCAUGGUUCAGCCUGAGUGAGAAGUGAGGGCCCUGUAUAUAAACAUAAAGAAUUUACAGACAGUUAGAAAAUCCUCAUUAUUUAUCAUUUCCUCAGUUGAAUUGUCACCAAAGGCCUGCAAGCACCUUUGUUUCGAAGUGAGUGAGUUCAUCUAGAAUCUCCUUUUAAGUAGGUUUCAGCUGUCCAGGCAAUCUGGGAAUUUAUUCUGCAAACUUAUUGUGGGGCUGACAUGAACAAGCUGCUCUAUAGAGAGCUGGGAGGAAGGAAUAUGUUACCAGUAUUAGUCUCCUUUCUUCUCAUAGGUUCCUCAUUUUGUUAUUUUAUGCCUUUUUUAUUACCAAAACACCAGUUUUAAAAUCCCAAUCUAUCUUAUAAUUUAGUAAAAACAUCUAUAAAUGUUUUUAUCUGUCAGAAAAAGAAGUGGUUGUGGGUCUUUGCAUGGCAGAGCAGUAUUCAUUGUCACAGGGUGGCUCAAGGGGCAGGGGUUUAAUUCAGUGGCAUGUGCAAGGCAAAGGUGAAGUGUCAGGAGGCCACGCUGAGCUCAUUGCCUAAUUACUCACUUAUUAUCUGUGUGGAAGUCCCAAAGCUUCUAAACAAGAGCUUGGGGAAGUUCUGGCUGAUAUCCUUUUCUCUUGGACCCUGUGAUCUAUUCCAAUUCAAGAAGGUGCAAUGACUGACAGGCCAGAGCACCUGGAGUCCAGGAGUUCCUGGCAUCUCACUGGUUUAUUUCCAUUUCUGACAGUGGGAGGAUUCUUCCUCAGCAGGUUCCAAAUCUGAGCCAGGAAUGCCAGAGCUCACCCCUAUGCUGUCAGGUCACCAAGCCAGAGCUAUGUUAAACAAUUGCAUUUCCAGGUGCAGGGUGAAUGAAGUCUCAGGA
Long non-coding RNA from Passer domesticus (house sparrow), 5913 nucleotides. RefSeq lists it as uncharacterized. The record is from RefSeq and is a predicted model, not a curated record. NCBI's taxonomy places the organism in Eukaryota, Metazoa, Chordata, Aves, Passeriformes, Passeridae. The transcript is spliced from 3 exons.